CAGGGUUUCCGUAGGUGAACCUGCGGGAAGGACAUUG
Molecule: ribosomal RNA, 37 nt
Filed under: Eucalyptus nudicaulis
Lineage: Eukaryota; Viridiplantae; Streptophyta; Magnoliopsida; Myrtales; Myrtaceae
Description: partial 18S ribosomal RNA
Source: RNAcentral